UGCUGUCAGAAUUAGGAGUUUUCUAACAGAAACCUAAGGAGAAGCCAAUACAAACUUUUGAUCGGUUCAAUCAUCUCUUAAGUAAGAUGAUAAAACAUAGAAUAGAGAGGAAGUUGAUUGAGCAGAAAGUAACUUUCAUGAACGGACGCAGACCAGAAUGGAUGACUGUGGUUUCUACUGUAAAAGUGCAUGAACAGUUUAAGUCUUAUUCGCUAGCGAAACUUGUGGGAAUACUUAAAUCCCAUGAAAGUGUCGUAACCAAAGAAGCAAAAGUGGUUUAUGGUGUAGGAUUGUUGGCCCUUGUCUUAAAAGCAAAAGGCAUUGCAGAAGAAGAAGAUGAGUCCGAUUUGUCUGAAUGUGACCUUACAAGUGAGGAGUAUGCUAUGAUGGUCACCAAUCAAAAGAAGUUUGCAAGAAGAAAAUUCCCGGUCAGCAAGAACUGAAACUGGCAGGGAAGUUACUGAUGGGUUUUGAGCAUUCUAACACUUCCUAAGUGUACAUGCAACCCUAAUAACCUUGGAUCUAUGUUUGUCUAAUUAUCAUGCAAACUUGAAUUUCCAAGGUUAUAUUCCUAUCUAGCAUACAUGGGGAACAAUUUAACUUGAAUGAAAGAUAGAAUAACUUACCUUGUUGUUGCUUAUGUUCCUUGAAACCUUGUGAGCCUAGCACCCCAAGUGUGAUGCCUCAAAUGCUUCACACAACACCAAAUGCUCUUGGAAAAACUUUUGAGAGAAUACACACUACUUAAAAUCGGCCAAGCCCUCUAGUUUCAUAUGUGUAACCGAUUUUGGUGGAGAAUGGGACUCUUAUAUAGUCUUGACACAUCUAGGGUUACACCAUGUAAACCCCAAUGUGUCAUGACUCUUCAUUUCCAUGACCCAUGGGUUUGUAACUCCCAUGGAGCAUCCUAUGGGUAGAACCCAACUUGAUAAUCCAUGGAGCCUCUUAGCCCACUAUACAAGAUAUGAAUGAUUUACAUAAUCAACCCAUAUAUUUAAUUAGUUAUCCUUUGAUCACUAAUUAAUUCCCAAAUUAAUUCUUUGAUCAAACUAAUCAAAUAAUAUUAUUAAUAUAUUAGAACUUAUAAUAUAUUAAUAAUCUCCAAGUGUUAUUUCUCUCAUUUAGUCUAUCCAAUUGCAUGGUGCCAUGCAACCCAAAUGGACCAUGCCGGGUCGGGUCAAGUACAAACCCGAAAUAGUUAUGGACUUAGACACCUUAUCCAACAGUCUCCCACUUGGAUAAGUCUAAUAACUAUAUCUCUAGUACUUCAGGAACCGACCGGCAAUCGUAGCUCUUUCAAGGUCUCUCGGAACUGAGAAGAUGAUGGUACGCCAUUUAAGAUAAGUGAUCAUAUAAUCCUCCGUUCUAGAUAUCAGCCGGACAAAUACAUGGAACAAUGUCUUACUUAUUGUCCAGCAGUUUGUUUCCCGAUUUCCGAUUUGUUUGACAAAGAACUUAAUUGAACACAUCAACUUAGUUCUGACCGGGCCCGGUACAUAGGUCAAAACAAAAUCAUCGAGGGGCCCAGAUAUCAGCUUCUAAUCCAAGAAGGAACAGAUAAACUUCGACUCAUAUGUUUGUUCUACCACUCAUUGAAUUACACACAAAAGUACGUUUUAUAACAUCGAGUUACCAAUGCGGUUUCGUACAGUCAAUGCAUAACCAACUUGUAAGUAACAAAUCAUAUCUCUAGGUUUGAAGACUUAUAUGAUAUUACCGUCUCACGAUCACUCGAGAUAGAAUUCCAUGAAGUGAUUCCAGUGAGCGUGGGUUGAGUCCAAUGCUCAGAACUUAUGAGCACUCAUGAUUGUUGUAGCCUUGUCCAACACCUUAGACCUCUACAACCCAUCAUGACAGUCUUGAUUCAUACCUACUUCCGACAUAUGACCGACUGUGGAGGUUUGAAUAAUAUGUUAUACCAAACAAAAUUAUUCUGGAAGUCAAAACAUGCAAAAGAAAUAUAGUAAACGAUCGACAAGAGAUAGCAACACUUUACUCAUAAAUAAAACACCUUUUAUUCAUCAUCAAAUGUCAAUUACACUUUACAAAUUUCUGGGUUAUCUAACUACUAAAACUUAUAUCAUCCUUCAGCCCUAUGCUCCGAGCAUGCUGGAGAUGCUUAACCCUACUCAGUCCCUUCGUGAGGGGAUCUGCUGGGUUCUCAUCCGAUGAUACCCUCUUUGCCACGAGGAGUCCUUCUUCGAUCCGAUGUCUAAUGAAAUGGUAUUUUCUGUCGAUGUGUCUGGAUCUCCCAUGAUCCCUUGGUUCCUUGGCUAAGGCAACAGCACUUUCACUAUCACAGAAAAUUUCCAUUGGCUCUUUAAUAGCUGGUACAACUCCAAGGUCUCCAAUGAAGUUCUUCAGCCAUAUCGCCUCCUUUGCUGCUUCACUAGCUGCAAUAUACUCUGAUUCACAAGUAGAAUCUGCCACUGUCUCUUGCUUGGAACUCUUCCAAGAAAUUGCUCCUCCGUUUAGGGUAAAGACCCAGCCCGACUGAGAGCGGAAAUUAUCCCUAUCAGUCUGGAAGCUAGCAUCACUAUACCCUACAACUCUCAAGUCAUCACUCCCACCGAGGGUAAGGACCCAGUCCUUAGUCCUCCGUAGGUACUUGAGGAUAUUCUUUACCGCAGUCCAGUGUGCCUUGCCAGGGUUCGCCUGAUACCUGCUAACCAUGCUCAAGGCAAAAGCUACAUCGGGUCGAGUACACGUCAUAGCAUACAUGAUCGAUCCUACAGCCGAAGCGUAAGGUGUUCGACUCAUUUCUGCUAUCUCAGCCUCAGUGCUAGGGCUUUGUGUCUUACUCAAUCUGGUGUUACUCUGGAUGGGUAACUCUCCUUUCUUGGAAUCCUGCAUGCUGAAUCUCUUCAGCACCUUAUCCAAGUAGGUACUCUGACUAAGUCCAAUUAGUCUUUUACUCCGAUCUCUCAAGAUUCUUAUCCCUAGAAUAUAGGCAGCUUCACCAAGGUCCUUCAUAGCGAAACACUUCCCAAGCCAGGACUUUACUUCCUGCAGGGUUGGAAUGUCGUUUCCUAUGAGUAGUAUGUCAUCCACAUACAAUACCAAAAAGCUAACUAUACUCCCACUAGCCUUGACAUACACACAAGAUUCAUCUUCACUCCUAGAAAAGCCAAAUUCCUUGACCUUUUCAUCAAAGCAAAGAUUCCAUCUGCGAGGUGCUUGCUUCAAUCCAUAAAUGGAUUUCUCAAGCUUACACACUCUAUUAGGGUACUCGUUGCUGACAAAACCCUCUGGCUGACUCAUGUAAACAUCUUCAGCCAACUUUCCAUUAAGGAAAGCGGUUUUGACAUCCAUCUGCCAUAUUUCAUAGUCAUGAAAUGCAGCUAUGGCUAACAGAACCCGAAUAGACUUAAUCUUGGCUACCGGAGAAAAGGUCUCAUCAUAAUCCACUCCAGGAAUUUGAGAGAAGCCCUUUGCAACCAGUCUAGCCUUAUAAGUGUGUACUUUACCAUCCAUGUCGGUCUUCUUCUUGAAGACCCAUUUGCACCCUACUGUCUUACGACCUGGUACAUUUUCAACCAAGUUCCAAACUUGAUUGUCAUACAUGGAUUGUAUCUCGCUAUCCAUAGCCUCUUUCCAUUUAGCAGACUCGGGGCCUGCCAUGGCUUCCUCGUAGCUGUUAGGGUCAUCUUGACUUACUAGUGUCUCAUCACUAAUAAGUGUCUCACCUUCUGCAGUAAUAUGGAAUCCAUAGUAAUGCUCAGGUGCACUCCUAACUCUCGUGGAACGUCUCAGAGGUACAGAUUUGUCAAUUGGCUCAACAGGAGUUUCCUCCUCAAGUUGAGGGCUAGAGUUUGAAGUUCCUUCACCGCUUGAUUCUUGAAUUUCUUCAAGAUCAAUUUGCCUCCCACUGUCUCCUUGGCUUAUAAACUCUCUUUCUCGAAAGACUCCUCUUCUUGCUACAAAGACCACAUUGUCACUAGGUCUGUAGAAGAGGUAACCAAAGGAUCGCUGUGGGUAACCGAUGAAAAUACACCUCUCGCUUCGAGGUUCGAGCUUAUCAUGAGUCUCGCGUCUCACGAAAGCCUCGCAACCCCAAAUCUUGAUGUGGUCUAGUUUAGGUACUUUACCAGUCCACAUCUCGUGAGGAGUUUUGGCAACUUUCUUUGUAGGGACUAGAUUAAGAAUAUGGGCGGCAGUCUCUAAGGCAUACCCCCAGAAUGAGAUUGGUAGCGUAGCUCGACUCAUCAUGGAACGAACCAUAUCUAACAAGGUUCGAUUACGCCUCUCAGCCACACCAUUCAACUGUGGUGUCCUGGGAGGUGUCAAUUGUGAGACUAUCCCACAUUCCCUUAGAUAGUCGAGGAACUCUGAACUAAGAUACUCACCACCACGAUCGGAUCGAAGCAUCUUAAUGUUCCUGCCCAAUUGAUUCUCGACUUCCUGUUUAAAUUCCUUAAACCUCUCGAAAGUCUCUGACUUAUGCUUGAUCAAGUAGACAUAUCCAUAUCUACUAUAAUCAUCAGUAAAAGUCAAAUAAUAACGAUUAGCAUCCCUUGUGGCAUGUUUGAAUGGUCCACACACAUCCGUGUGUAUAAGGUCCAACAAACCUUCACCCCUCUCACACGAACCUGUGAAGGGUGACUUUGUCAUUUUUCCAAGUAAGCAUGAUUCGCAACUAUCAUCUGACUUUAGGUCAAACGACUCCAAGACUCCAUCCUUUUGGAGUUGGCCUAUGCGUUUCUUGCUUAUAUGUCCAAGACGACAAUGCCAUAAAGAUGCUUUAUCCAAGUUAUUAUUAGUAGAAUCAAUACACAAAACAUUAUUUCCCAAGUUAUCUACAACAGAUACAGCUUCAUACACACCAUCACAAGGUAAUGCUUUAAAAUAAAAGACAUUAUUAUAGAAAACAUCUAUAGAACCAACUUCAUUAUUAAAUGAAAAGGUAAACCCUUGUUUGUACAAAGCAUGAAAGGAAAUAAUAUUUCUUGCCAUUCCUGGCGAAUAACAACACUUAUUCAAAUCUAAACUAAACCCACUACUUAGCGAUAAAGUAUAAACUCCAAUCUUGGUAACAGGUAUAGCUUUCCUAUUCCCCAUGAUCAAGUUUAUCCUUCCUUGCUCCACAUCCUCACUUCUUCUUAGUCCCUGCAAGUCACAACAAAUGUGAAUACCACACCCGGUAUCAAGGACCCAAGAAUUAGAAUGGGGUGAGUUAUUAGAAAUGAUAGUGUAAAUACCUGCAUGGUUGGGUUUAACUUUCCCAUCCUUCACAUCUUGCUGGUAUUUUGGGCAGUUCCGCUUCCAAUGAGCUUUUUCAUGGCAAUAGAAGCAUUCAGCCUCUUUUGGGUCAGAAGAAGGAGUAACGAAACCUUUCUUGGUUCCACUUGAAGAAGAGCCAUCAAGGGUCCGAGCCUUGGUACCCUUAGAAGAGCUCUUUCUCUUCCUCCCUCGACUUUUCCCGAUUGCCAAAACCGGAGUAGAGUUUUGAGUAGGAGUGAUAGCAACCGACUUCCCCUUAAGACCUGUUUCUGCGGUCUUGAGAAGUCCCUGAAGUUUGCUGAGGGUGACUUCUUCCUUGUUCAUGUGAUAUGUCAUGCGGAAUUGAUCAUAGCACGAUGGUAAGGAAUGCAAAAUAAUAUCUAUUGCAAGAUCCUCCGGGAAGUUCACAUUAAGCUUCAGCAAACGAUCCACAUACCUUUGCAUUUUCUGCAUGUGGCUCGUGACGGAUUCCCCGUCCUUCAUCAUGGUUGUUAUCAUGGAGCAGAUGAUUUCAUACCUCUCUUGUCUUGCACUUUGAUGGUAUCUUUCCAUCAAAUCUUGGUGCAUGUCAUAAGGGUAGAAAUCCUCAUAAGACUUUUGGAGUUCCGCUGUCAUCGUGGCCAUCAUGAUGCAAGCCACUUUCGUAGCAUCCCUUUCAUGUGCCCGAAAUUCAGCGAUCUCCUGAGGAGUUGCAGUGGACUCAUCAAUCUCCUUAAGCUCCUUGUCAAGGACAUAUUCUUUGUCCUCGUAGCGGGUAAUCAUCCUGAUGUUUCUGAUCCACUCAUUGAAGUUGGAUCCAUCAAAGGUGACUUUCCCACACAAGUUCAUAAGGGUAAAGGAGCCAUUAGGAUUAGAGCCAGAAGCAUUGUUGAAAGACAUCUGAAGGAAAGAGGACAAGAUUAGUUUAGAUAUAAGAGAGUCCUUAAUAAAACACCCAAAUGUAAUAUUAAGGCUAGGAUCCAAUCACAAUAUAAUAUAACUUAGAAGAGGUAUGCCGUAAUCUAAGCUAUAUCAUAUUUGAAAGGUAGGUGAAUGACGAUUCACCAAUUUCCACCACGAAAACCGCAAUAUUUUAGUAUUAGGUUUUUGAAUGGUUCUUAGAAAUUCCUAGAUUCUUUGAGAUUCAAUGAACUUUUCAAAGGCAUGUUUCAAUCUCGAGUGUGCCCUCCAAGUUUUGUGACUGGGAUACCGAGGAUCACAAAACGAGGUGUGAAGUAACCAUGCAAAUCACUUGGUACCCUUAAAGUUUAUCACUCAAUCGAUGUGCCGGUUAACCACACACGCUCCAUCGAUACUAUAAUAAACCCUAAGUCACCCUUUACCUACCUUGUUAAGUCCAAGUUAGUGUGCCGGUUAACCACACACGCUCCACCAACGACUUAAUCAAAGUGUAAAGUGUAAUUUCAUGGAAUAGCACCUUAUUCACAUUUUUCCUAAAGUAACUAAGAUUGGGAAUUUAAUAAAACAUUUAGUUACUUUAUAAUAUUCAUCAUACUUUGAAUGAGAAUUAAUAAGUCCUUGUCUUACCCGUUCGGCUAACGACCCUCCACCGAUCAAGCAAGCGGUGGGUGAGAGUGGACACCCAUUAAGUCACCAUUUUAUAGGCAACAACCUUAUACCCACCUUAUAGACCGGCUUCGUGAAUGAGGCGUACUAGCGGUAAGACGACUUUGUUCUUAUACAUAUAUAUAUAAUUAUUAAAUCAUAAUAAUAUAAGUAUAAGGGUUGAAUUUUAACUUUUAAAAUUCUAGGGGUUGGAACUAAAGUUUUAACUUAACUUUACUUGUUCCAAAACUUGAGGGCAAGUUUUGUAAACUUUCAAAACUUUUCAUUUCUUGUAACUUAUGAGUUUAAUAGAGUAAUAAAAUGAGGACUUUUCAUUUUUCCUAACUCUUGUGUUCUUUUAAUGGUUUUUAAUCCAAGAGACUUUUGGUUUUCCAUAACUUGAGGACAAGUUAUGGACUCCAUUAAAACACAUUAUGAUCAUGAAUUAAUCUACCACAUAGGUUACAAAUAAUUCCUAUGAUCAUCUAAACAUCAUAAGAACAAGAAUAUGAAUAUGAACACUUUCAAGAAUCAAAAUCACAUUUAAUCUUUGUAAUUUUGAUAACUAGUUGUUGUAAAUGAGUUAGAAAAGACAUUACACCUUCUAAAAUAAGUUUUCAAGUACCAAAACAUUUUAGGGUAAUGAUUCUAAUCCAUUUCCAGCAACACAAGUCGAAAUUCUGCACUCUGUCGACCCUACUCGCCGAGUGCAUAAACCUACUCGCCGAGUAGGUUGAAGAUACACAUGAACUCGUCGAGUCCUCCCCAUGGACUCGCCGAGUCCAUCAGUCAGACAGCAAGAUUUUCGACUUUCUUCAACUUUUAAGCACAAAUAACAAACAAACAAGCCUAGGCUCUGAUACCACUGAUGGGUUUUGAGCAUUCUAACACUUCCUAAGUGUACAUGCAACCCUAAUAACCUUGGAUCUAUGUUUGUCUAAUUAUCAUGCAAAGUUGAAUUCCAAGGUUAUAUUCCUAUCUAGCAUACAUGGGGAACAAUUUUAACUUGAAUGAAAGAUAGAAUAACUUACCUUGUUGUUGCUUAUGUUCCUUGAAACCUUGUGAGCCUAGCACCCCAAGUGUGAUGCCUCAAAUGCUUCACACAACACCAAAUGCUCUUGGAAAGACUUUUGAGAGAAUACACACUUCUUAAAAUCGGCCAAGCCCUCUAGUUUCUUAUGUGUAGCCGAUUUUGGUGGAGAAUGGGACUCUUAUAUAGUGUUGACACAUCUAGGGUUACACCAUGUAAACCCUAAUGUGUCAUGACUCUUCAUUUCCAUGACCCAUGGGUUUGUAACUCCCAUGGAGCAUCCAUGGAGCAUCCUAUGGGUAGAACCCAACUUGAUAAUCCAUGGAGCCUCUUAGCCCACUAUACAAGAUAUGAAUGAUUUACAUAAUCAACCCAUAUAUUUAAUUAGUUAUCCUUUGAUCACUUAGUUAAUUCCAAAUUAAUUCUUGAUCAAACUAAUCAAAUAAUAUUAUUAAUAUAUUAGAACUUAUAAUAUAUUAAUAAUCUCCAAGUGUUAUUUCUCAUUUUAGUCUAUCCAAUUGCAUGGUGCCAUGCAACCCAAAUGGACCAUGCCGGGUCGGGUCAAGUACGGACCCGAAAUAGUUAUGGACUUAGACACCUUAUCCA
This 8401-nucleotide long non-coding RNA is filed under the name Lactuca sativa (garden lettuce). RNAcentral describes it as "long non-coding RNA (LSAT_LNC006575)". The record is from RNAcentral. Lineage: Eukaryota; Viridiplantae; Streptophyta; Magnoliopsida; Asterales; Asteraceae.